Molecule: ribosomal RNA, 264 nt
Filed under: uncultured bacterium
Lineage: Bacteria
Description: partial 16S ribosomal RNA
Rfam family: Bacterial small subunit ribosomal RNA
Source: RNAcentral
CCGGCGACCGGCGCACGGUGAGUAACACGUAUGCAACCUGCCCUCUUCAGGGGACGAACCUUCCGAAAGGGAGGCUAAUCCCGCGUAUAUCGGUUUCGGGCAUCCGAGAUCGAGGAAAGAUUCAUCGGAAGAGGAUGGGCAUGCGGCGCAUUAGCUAGACGGCGGGGUAACGGCUCACCGUGGCGACGAUGCGUAGGGGUUCUGAGAGGAAGGUCCCCCACACUGGUACUGAGACACGGACCAGACUCCUACGGAAGGCAGCAG